AUGAACGCUGGCGGCGUGCCUCAUACAUGCCAGUCGAGCGCACAGAUGAGGAGCUUGCUCCUCUGACGUUAGCGGCGGACGGGUGAGUAACACGUGGAUAACCUACCUAUAAGACUGGGAUAACUUCGGGAAACCGGAGCUAAUACCGGAUAAUAUAUUGAACCGCAUGGUUCAAUAGUGAAAGACGGUUUUGCUGUCACUUAUAGAUGGAUCCGCGCCGCAUUAGCUAGUUGGUAAGGUAACGGCUUACCAAGGCAACGAUGCGUAGCCGACCUGAGAGGGUGAUCGGCCACACUGGAACUGAGACACGGUCCAGACUCCUACGGGAGGCAGCAGUAGGGAAUCUUCCGCAAUGGGCGAAAGCCUGACGGAGCAACGCCGCGUGAGUGAUGAAGGUCUUCGGUUCGUAAAACUCUGUUAUUAGGGAAGAACAAAUGUGUAAGUAACUAUGCACGUCUGGACGGUACCUAAGCAGAAAGCCACGGCUAACUACGU
This 495-nucleotide ribosomal RNA is filed under the name uncultured bacterium. RNAcentral's name for it is "partial 16S ribosomal RNA". It matches the Rfam family "Bacterial small subunit ribosomal RNA", at positions 29 to 506 of the family's 1533-position model. The record is from RNAcentral.